UACGUAGGGGGCAAGCGUUUUCCGGAAUCAUUGGGCGUAAAGCGCGUGUAGGCGGCCACGUUAGUCCGCUCUGAAAGCCCGGGGCUCAACCCCGGGAGGCGGGUGGAUACUGCGUGGCUCGAGUCCGGAAGAGGCGAGUGGAAUUCCUGGUGUAGCGGUGAAAUGCGCAGAUAUCAGGAGGAACACCAAUGGCGAAGGCAGCUCGCUGGGACGUGACUGACGCUGAGACGCGAAAGCGUGGGGAGCAAACAGG
This 253-nucleotide ribosomal RNA is filed under the name uncultured bacterium. Its description in RNAcentral is "partial 16S ribosomal RNA". It matches the Rfam family "Bacterial small subunit ribosomal RNA", at positions 524 to 776 of the family's 1533-position model. The record is from RNAcentral.